UGGCUCAGAUUGAACGCUGGCGGAAUGCUUUACACAUGCAAGUCGAACGGUAGAGGGGGCAGCCCUUGAGAGUGGCGAACGGGUGAGUAAUAUAUCGGAACGUGCCCAGUCGUGGGGAUAACGUAGCGAAAGUUACGCUAAUACCGCAUACGAUCUAAGGAUGAAAGCGGGGAUCGCAAGACCUCGCGCGAUUGGAGCGGCCGAUAUCAGAUUAGGUAGUUGGUGAGGUAAAGGCUCACCAAGCCAACGAUCUGUAGCUGGUCUGAGAGGACGACCAGCCACACUGGAACUGAGACACGGUCCAGACUCCUACGGGAGGCAGCAGUGGGGAAUUUUGGACAAUGGACGCAAGUCUGAUCCAGCCAUUCCGCGUGCAGGAUGAAGGCCCUCGGGUUGUAAACUGCUUUUGUACGGAACGAAAAGGUUUGUCUUAAUACGAUGAGCUCAUGACGGUACCGUAAGAAUAAGCACCGGCUAACUACGUG
This 485-nucleotide ribosomal RNA is filed under the name uncultured bacterium. RNAcentral's name for it is "bacterial SSU rRNA". It matches the Rfam family "Bacterial small subunit ribosomal RNA", at positions 20 to 507 of the family's 1533-position model. The record is from RNAcentral.